CCUGGAGGAUCAGCAAAGACAAGACCCUGGACCUCCAGGUGCUUCUGCUUGAGGACCUGGUGGUACUGCUGCAGAGACAAGAGGAGCGGCUGCUGCUAAAGUGCCACAGCAAGACAGCCGUGGGCUCCUCCGACAGCAAGCAGACGUUCAGCCCUGUGCUGAAGCUCAAUGCUGUGCUCAUCCGCUCCGUGGCUACAGGUACUCAUGAGGAGAUGAGCCAGCAAGCCUGGCUGAUAGAGGCCCAUUCUGGGGCUUCACAAGGCUUAAUAUCCUCCUGUGUUUCCUCCUGUGUUCCUGUCUUGACCCAGUCUAAGCAGGAAGCUUUGGUCCAGGACGGGCAGGCUAAGGGGUAGAUAAUGGACUAAGAGG
Molecule: long non-coding RNA, 369 nt
Filed under: Rattus norvegicus (Norway rat)
Lineage: Eukaryota; Metazoa; Chordata; Mammalia; Rodentia; Muridae
Description: long non-coding RNA NONRATT015394
Source: RNAcentral